Molecule: ribosomal RNA, 254 nt
Filed under: uncultured bacterium
Lineage: Bacteria
Description: partial 16S ribosomal RNA
Rfam family: Bacterial small subunit ribosomal RNA
Source: RNAcentral
GACGGAGGAUGCAAGUGUUAUCCGGAAUCACUGGGCGUAAAGCGUCUGUAGGUGGUUCGAAAAGUCCACUGUUAAAAAUUGAGGCUUAACUUCAAAGAUGCCGUGGAAACUUUCAAACUAGAGUAUGGUAGGGGUAGAGGGAAUUUCCAGUGGAGCGGUGAAAUGCGUAGAUAUUGGAAAGACCACCGAUGGCGAAGGCACUCUACUGGGCCAUUACUGACACUGAGAGACGAAAGCUAGGGGAGCAAAAUGGG